RNAcentral lists this long non-coding RNA (977 nucleotides) under Salmo salar (Atlantic salmon). Its description in RNAcentral is "lncRNA (ENSSSAG00000113967.1)". The record is from RNAcentral. Lineage: Eukaryota; Metazoa; Chordata; Actinopteri; Salmoniformes; Salmonidae.
CUUGCAACCUAGCCAGUUCAAACAUUGACUUCCACUGACUGAGGUACAGAUUGUGUGUGUGUGUGUGUGUGUGUGCGUGCGUGCGUGCGUGCGUGUGUAUACUUGGACCAAAAGUCCCUAGAGGAAUAGUUAGUAAACAAACUAAAACUGGACCAACUGGGGACAUGCUGUUGGUCCAAAAGGUAAAAUGCUAUUUCUAGGAGUUAGGGUUAGAUGUUAGGAAAUAGGGUUAGGAGUUAGGGUAAGGAGUUAGGGUUAGGACUUAGGGUUAGGAGUUAGGAGUUAGGGUUAGGACUUAGGGUUAGGAGUUAGGGUUAGAUGUUAGGAAAUAGGAUUAGGAGUUAGGGUAAGGAGUAAGGACUUAGGGUUAGGAGUUAGGAGUUAGAUGUUAGGAAAUAGGGUUAGGAGUUAGGGUAAGGAGUUAGGAGUUAGGGUUAGAUGUUAGGAAAUAGGGUUAGGAGUUAGAAGUUAGGAUUAGGAGUUAGGAGUUAGGAGUUAGGGUUAGAGGUUAGGAAUUAGGGUUAGGACUUAGGGUUAGGACUUAGGAGUUCGGACCUAGGGUUAGGAGUUAGGGUUAGGACUUAGGGUUAGGACUUAGGGUUAGGACUUAGGGUUAGGACUUAGGGUUAGGACUUAGGAGUUCGGACCUAGGGUUAGGAGUUAGGAGUUAGAAGUUAGGGUUAGGAGUUAGGAGUUAGGAGUUAGGGUUAGGAGUUAGGACCUAGGGUUAGGAGUUAGAAUUAGGAGUUAGGGUUAGGAGUUAGGGUUAGAUGUUAGGAAAUAGGAUUAGGAGUUAGGGUAAGGAGUAAGGACUUAGGGUUAGGAGUUAGGAGUUAGAUGUUAGGAAAUAGGGUUAGGAGUUAGGGUAAGGAGUUAGGGUUAGAUGUUAGGAAAUAGGGUUAGGAGUUAGGGUUAGAUGUUAGGAAAUAGGGUUAGGAGUUAGAAGUUAGGAGUUAGGGUUAGGAGUUAGGAGUUAG